This 468-nucleotide ribosomal RNA is filed under the name uncultured bacterium. Its description in RNAcentral is "partial 16S ribosomal RNA". It matches the Rfam family "Bacterial small subunit ribosomal RNA", at positions 28 to 507 of the family's 1533-position model. The record is from RNAcentral.
GACGAACGCUGGCGGCGUGCUUAACACAUGCAAGUCGAACGGAAAGGCCCUGCUUUUGUGGGGUGCUCGAGUGGCGAACGGGUGAGUAACACGUGAGUAACCUGCCCUUGACUUUGGGAUAACUUCAGGAAACUGGGGCUAAUACCGGAUAUGAGCUCCUGCUGCAUGGUGGGGGUUGGAAAGUUUCGGCGGUUGGGGAUGGACUCGCGGCUUAUCAGCUUGUUGGUGGGGUAGUGGCUUACCAAGGCUUUGACGGGUAGCCGGCCUGAGAGGGUGACCGGCCACAUGGGGACUGAGAGACGGCCCAGACUCCUACGGGAGGCAGCAGUGGGGAAUAUUGCACAAUGGGCGGAAGCCUGAUGCAGCAACGCCGCGUGCGGGAUGACGGCCUUCGGGUUGUAAACCGCGUUCGCCUGUGACGAAGCGUGAGUGACGGUAAUGGGUAAAGAAGCACCGGCUAACUACGUG